Molecule: ribosomal RNA, 460 nt
Filed under: uncultured bacterium
Lineage: Bacteria
Description: partial 16S ribosomal RNA
Rfam family: Bacterial small subunit ribosomal RNA
Source: RNAcentral
CCUACGGGUGGCAGCAGUGAGGAAUAUUGGUCAAUGGGCGAGAGCCUGAACCAGCCAAGCAGCGUGAAGGAUGACUGCCCUACGGGUUGUAAACUUCUUUUAUAAAGGAAUAAAGUGAGGCACGUGUGCCUCUUUGUAUGUACUUUAUGAAUAAGGAUCGGCUAACUCCGUGCCAGCAGCCGCGGUAAUACGGAGGAUCCGAGCGUUAUCCGGAUUUAUUGGGUUUAAAGGGCGCGUAGAUGGGUUGUUAAGUCAGUUGUGAAAGUUUGCGGCUCAACCGUAAAAUUGCAAUUGAUACUGGCAGUCUUGAGUACAGUUGAGGUAGGCGGAAUUCGUGGUGUAGCGGUGAAAUGCGUAGAUAUCACGAAGAACUCCGAUUGCGAAGGCAGCUUACUAAACUGCCACUGACAUUGAUGCGCGAAAGGGUGGGUAUCAAACAGGAUUAGAUACCCCAGUAGUC